GUGGGUACCUACCCCGGGGUCCGGGAUAGCCGUCCGAGAGGGCGGGUAAUACCGGAUGACGUGGAGACACCAAAGGUCCGCCGCCCCGGGCGGGGCCCACGUGGUAUUAGCUGGUUGGUGGGGUGACGGCCCACCAAGGCGGGGAUGCCUAGCGGGUGUGGGAGCACGACCCGCGCCACUCGCACUGAGACACUGGCGAGACACCUACGGGUGGCUGCAGUCGAGGAUCUUCGGCAAUGCGCGCAAGCGCGACCGAGCGACGCCGCGUGGGCGACGAAGGCCUUCGGGUUGUAAAGCCCUGUCGAGGGGGAGGAAAGCCCGAAAGGGUUUGACCCAUCCCUGGAGGAAGCUCGGGCUAAGUUCGUGCCAGCAGCCGCGGUAAGACGAACCGUCCAAACGUUAUUCGGAAUUAUUGGGCUUAAAGGGUGCGUAGGCUGUGCAGUAAGUUGGGUGUGAAAUCCCUCGGCUCAACCGAGGAACUGCGCCGAAUACUGCUGCGCUA
Molecule: ribosomal RNA, 502 nt
Filed under: uncultured Planctomycetota bacterium
Lineage: Bacteria; Pseudomonadati; Planctomycetota
Description: bacterial SSU rRNA
Rfam family: Bacterial small subunit ribosomal RNA
Source: RNAcentral